RNAcentral lists this ribosomal RNA (1491 nucleotides) under metagenome. RNAcentral's name for it is "bacterial SSU rRNA". It matches the Rfam family "Bacterial small subunit ribosomal RNA". The record is from RNAcentral.
AGAGUUUGAUCCUGGCCCAGAUUGAACGCUGGCGGCAUGCCUUACACAUGCAAGUCGAACGGCAGCACGAGAGCUUGCUCUUGGUGGCGAGUGGCGAACGGGUGAGUAAUAUAUCGGAACGUACCCUAGAGUGGGGGAUAACGUAGCGAAAGUUACGCUAAUACCGCAUACGAUCUACGGAUGAAAGUGGGGGAUCGCAAGACCUCAUGCUCAUGGAGCGGCCGAUAUCUGAUUAGCUAGUUGGUGGGGUAAAAGCUCACCAAGGCGACGAUCAGUAGCUGGUCUGAGAGGACGACCAGCCACACUGGAACUGAGACACGGUCCAGACUCCUACGGGAGGCAGCAGUGGGGAAUUUUGGACAAUGGGCGCAAGCCUGAUCCAGCAAUGCCGCGUGGGUGAAGAAGGCCUUCGGGUUGUAAAGCUCUUUUGUCAGGGAAGAAACGGUGGACUCUAAUACAGAUCACUAAUGACGGUACCUGAAGAAUAAGCACCGGCUAACUACGUGCCAGCAGCCGCGGUAAUACGUAGGGUGCAAGCGUUAAUCGGAAUUACUGGGCGUAAAGCGUGCGCAGGCGGUUGUGCAAGACAGAUGUGAAAUCCCCGGGCUCAACCUGGGAAUUGCAUUUGUGACUGCACGGCUAGAGUGUGUCAGAGGGGGGUAGAAUUCCACGUGUAGCAGUGAAAUGCGUAGAGAUGUGGAGGAAUACCGAUGGCGAAGGCAGCCCCCUGGGAUAACACUGACGCUCAUGCACGAAAGCGUGGGGAGCAAACAGGAUUAGAUACCCUGGUAGUCCACGCCCUAAACGAUGUCUACUAGUUGUCGGGUCUUAAUUGACUUGGUAACGCAGCUAACGCGUGAAGUAGACCGCCUGGGGAGUACGGUCGCAAGAUUAAAACUCAAAGGAAUUGACGGGGACCCGCACAAGCGGUGGAUGAUGUGGAUUAAUUCGAUGCAACGCGAAAAACCUUACCUACCCUUGACAUGUCUGGAAUCCUUGAGAGAUCAGGGAGUGCUCGAAAGAGAAUCAGAACACAGGUGCUGCAUGGCUGUCGUCAGCUCGUGUCGUGAGAUGUUGGGUUAAGUCCCGCAACGAGCGCAACCCUUGUCAUUAGUUGCUACGAAAGGGCACUCUAAUGAGACUGCCGGUGACAAACCGGAGGAAGGUGGGGAUGACGUCAAGUCCUCAUGGCCCUUAUGGGUAGGGCUUCACACGUCAUACAAUGGUACAUACAGAGGGCCGCCAACCCGCGAGGGGGAGCUAAUCCCAGAAAGUGUAUCGUAGUCCGGAUUGUAGUCUGCAACUCGACUACAUGAAGUUGGAAUCGCUAGUAAUCGCGGAUCAGCAUGUCGCGGUGAAUACGUUCCCGGGUCUUGUACACACCGCCCGUCACACCAUGGGAGCGGGUUUCACCAGAAGUGGGUAGCCUAACCGCAAGGAGGGCGCUCACCACGGUGGGAUUCGUGACUGGGGUGAAGUCGUAACAAGGUA